UAGCUCUUGUUGUUCACAGAGACUCGUGGCAGAUAUAUGAUGCUAUUGUAAUUCAUCCUUGUGAGCCAGGAGUAUCUGAAUGGAUUUAUGUCUACAACCUAAAAUGGUGCGUCUUGUAGUGACAGACCAGUUCCUGAUCUUUGUUGGACGGGACAGGGUCACCACUCCCUUGUAUUUGGGGAUUUGUGUAUUUUAAUGGGAUUUAUGGAUAUUUACCGUAAAGUACAAUGAUGGACCAGUUCCUGCUUUUGUUGGACGGGGCGGAGUUGCCACUCCCUUGUACAUGUAUAUCAGGAUUUGUGUAUUUUAAAGUCAUUUAUUGAUAUUUACGGUGCGUCUUGUAGUGAUAGACCAGUUCCUGCUUUUGUUGGACGGGGCAGAGUCGCCACUCCCUUGUACAUGUAUAUCGGGAUUUGUGUAUUUUAAAGUCAUUUAUUGAUAUUUACGGUGCGUCUUGUAGUCACGGAUGCUUGUGUUAGAGAAAAUUGGCUACAGGCAAGGACAGCCUCAGCCUGACAUGUGUUAAUCAUAUGAUUGUUGACUGUUGAGUUGGGGGACUACUGUUUGUUAUCCAUUGUACCUGUAGAAUGGACACAAUGCAGUAUCAGAACUUACUUGUUCUAGUAAUUAGGUAAUUUUAUCUCCCUUCUCUCAUUCCAGACUCGGUUGCAAUGGAUGUUGAUGUUCUCGUUUUCCUGGUGUAUGGCAGCUUAAGUGAAGCAUGGAUUUCAACAAAUAAGCAAGUAGGAAACUUGCCAUUAUUGAUUCUACCAGAUAGCACUGCUAUUUUUCCAUUACUAAAUGCAGUUUUGUUUUUAUUGAUAAUUCUAUUUAUUGUAGCUUUUGCAAGCUAGUGACAGCAUUAAUGUUUUGCUAUAAAUAUAAUAUUGCAUUAAUGAAUAUUAUUACAGUCUCCAUGAAUAUGAUUACUUUGUUAUGAAUUAAAGUUUAUGAUAAUUUAGUCUCACAUGAUUAAGUGAGAAACAGGAA
This is a long non-coding RNA of Amphimedon queenslandica, 990 nucleotides long. RefSeq lists it as uncharacterized. NCBI's taxonomy places the organism in Eukaryota, Metazoa, Porifera, Demospongiae, Haplosclerida, Niphatidae. The transcript is spliced from 8 exons. The record is from RefSeq and is a predicted model, not a curated record.